Molecule: transfer-messenger RNA, 391 nt
Filed under: Burkholderiales bacterium
Lineage: Bacteria; Pseudomonadati; Pseudomonadota; Betaproteobacteria; Burkholderiales
Also listed under: 1 other name
Rfam family: transfer-messenger RNA
About the family: Bacterial tmRNA, also known as 10Sa RNA or SsrA, is named for its dual tRNA and mRNA-like properties. Its role is to liberate the mRNA from a stalled ribosome.
Source: RNAcentral
GGGCCCGACCUGGUUUCGACGGGAGUUCUGAGGUGCGAUUGGGGCAUGUCGAGGGGUAGCUCCUCGUAAAACCGCUGCAACGCAAUCUAAUUGCAAACGAUAGCUUCUACGGCGAAAGCCGUCUCGCAGCCUAAUUAAACACUAGGUCGCGUGUGUUGCACCGAGGGACGUGGACCUCGGGCCAAGCCGGGCAACUGGUAAAGCAGCAACAUCAUUUUCCCACGGGUAGGGUGUGUGAGUGUCUGUGACACACAUCCGAAAUCAAGCGGACUGGUUGGCGGCAAGGGUGCUCAUGCUCGUGUCAUCAGCAAGAUCAAAUCAGUGAGCUAAACAUGUAGUCCCGACCACUAAUGGCUUUCGGACGCGGGUUCAAUUCCCGCCGGGUCCACCA